UGUGUUGUGCCAUGUUUCCUAGUCUA
Molecule: non-coding RNA, 26 nt
Filed under: Homo sapiens (human)
Lineage: Eukaryota; Metazoa; Chordata; Mammalia; Primates; Hominidae
Source: RNAcentral